This 407-nucleotide ribosomal RNA is filed under the name uncultured bacterium. RNAcentral describes it as "bacterial SSU rRNA". It matches the Rfam family "Bacterial small subunit ribosomal RNA", at positions 355 to 776 of the family's 1533-position model. The record is from RNAcentral.
UGGGGAAUAUUGCACAAUGGGGGGAACCCUGAUGCAGCAACGCCGCGUGAAGGAAGACGGUUUUCGGAUUGUAAACUUCUAUCAAUAGGGAAGAAAGAAAUGACGGUACCUAAAUAAGAAGCCCCGGCUAACUACGUGCCAGCAGCCGCGGUAAUACGUAGGGGGCAAGCGUUAUCCGGAAUUACUGGGUGUAAAGGGAGAGUAGGCGGCAAGGUAAGCGAUAUGUGAAAGCCUUAGGCUUAACCUGAGGAUUGCAUAACGAACUAUCUAGCUAGAGUACAGGAGAGGAAAGCGGAAUUCCUAGUGUAGCGGUGAAAUGCGUAGAUAUUAGGAAGAACACCAGUGGCGAAGGCGGCUUUCUGGACUGAAACUGACGCUGAGGCUCGAAAGCGUGGGGAGCGAACAGG